Long non-coding RNA from Ochotona curzoniae (black-lipped pika), 1145 nucleotides. RefSeq lists it as uncharacterized. NCBI's taxonomy places the organism in Eukaryota, Metazoa, Chordata, Mammalia, Lagomorpha, Ochotonidae. The record is from RefSeq and is a predicted model, not a curated record. The transcript has 3 exons.
CCAUUGUUAGACUUAUUUCUCGCAGGUACAUUGAAGAAAGCCCCUCCCCAGAGCUCCCCAUUGUUCCAGAAGCCCACCUGCAAGGAGACACCCUGGACAAGCUGAGCCACUUGGCGAAAGUUUGGCUCCAGCUCUUGGCUCUUUUGCCAGGGCCAGGUGGCUGCAGAGGGUGCUGCUGAAGCCGAUGACAGUGCUGACCACACUGCUGUAACUGCCACAGGACAUUCCACGGAGGGAGCGAGGAGGGGAAAGGUGGAACUCAGCGCAUCAAGACUGCAAGCCUGCAUGACUGGUGUCUCUCAAGGGGCCUGAAAGCCUUGGAGCAGUCCUGAAGAGUGGCCGUGUGGAUUUACCUGCUUCUAUCUCGCACCCUCUCUGCGCUCCCAUGGGCCAACACACUUCAGACAGUAACCCCUAGGGCAAGCCUCCGGUUCUCCUGAAUCAUCAGUGACCAUGAACUCGCUUUCACCAUCAUCAGAGCUGAAUGUGGGUCACUGAAGUCUGAAUGAGUAACUGUAACAGUAUGAAAGUGAGCCAGAGAGAUGGGCAGAGGGAAAUGGAAGAAAUUCAGUUCUCUCCCCCCCCACCCCCGCCUCAGCCUCUCUCUCACACCCAGGAGCUGAUCUGAAGUGAUGCCCCAUUCCAAAUCUGUCAACAGUUCAAUGCCAUUUUGGCGUGGGAAAAUCAAGGAACAAAUGCUACAUCCGGUGGCCCAACUGGAGGCAGCUGCAAGGUUGGCGGUGCCCAGAGAUUGGCCCAUGGAAGGCAGAAAGCAGGAACGUCACUGAACUCUGUUCUUGGGCUUGGGCCCGAGGAGGCCGAGAAGAUGGGCUGAGCCAUGGCCCUACCUCCUUUCCCCCAGACUUUUCCAGCUGCUGACCCACUGAGGCAACCCCUCGACCCUCCAUGUCUGUGGCCUUGAUCACAACCUUCCAUGGGCUUUUCUGCCUUCUCUGCAGUUAAGAGACUGAUGAUAUCCCAUCGAGGUGAAUGCCCAUCCGGCCACACAACCCAGCAGGGAGAGAACUCUACCUAGUUUUACCUCUCGGAACUCUAGAUAAGAGAAUGAGGAAGUGUGCUCCUGGGCCCAGUGCAAUAGCCUAGUGGCUAAAGUCCUUGCCUUUCACGUGCCAGGAAACUGUAUG